This 70-nucleotide transfer RNA is filed under the name Blarina hylophaga (Elliot's short-tailed shrew). RNAcentral's name for it is "tRNA-Gly". Lineage: Eukaryota; Metazoa; Chordata; Mammalia; Eulipotyphla; Soricidae. The record is from RNAcentral.
AUUCCUUUAGUAUUAAUAAGUACUGCUGACUUCCAAUCAGCCAGUCCCAGUAAGACCCCGGGAAGGAAUA